GGAGAAUUGAAACAAAGAAAACAUCUUACAUUUCAUUCUGAAACUAUGGAGGACUGCUUUUAUGAAGAGACUUGGGUCAGAAUGCACUCAAAGAGAAAAUCAGGUUGCUAUGGGUCUCUUCAUUGAUUUCAGAAAAAUGGACGUACCUACAGCACAUAAUGCCAUCAGAAGGAUGUGGGCUAGUAACUUAAAGUCCAGGAGGAAACAGAAUGGGAGGACGGAGGAUACAAAGAGAAGGCAGCACAUCUCCAGGGACAAGCUUUGCAGCAGACACAGAUUCCUAGGACUGGAGCAGAUGGGGAGCCACAGCCAGAACACUCCAUUCUACAAAUGAGGACUAGGCAGCAGGGCAAGAAGAAUGGUGGCUGUGCUGAAGUAAAUGGAGUGAUUGAAAACAGGUAAAGUUUGUGAUGAGAAACCAUGAGGACAGAAUCUUAAACAGCACUUUGGAGGAGGAUAUGCCUUUCAUUUAGGAGCAAGGGCUUAGAACAUUGAAAUGAGUGUUUGCAGAAGUAAGAGUCCCUAUGGUCCACUUACACUAUCCUAAACCCCAAAUCAACAAUCUCCAACCCUUGGAAUCUUUCAGCUUUCUUUCCUCUUUCUCAGCAGCUCCUUUUCUACACCUACCUUUGGAGUUGG
This is a long non-coding RNA of Camelus dromedarius (Arabian camel), 639 nucleotides long. RefSeq lists it as uncharacterized. Lineage: Eukaryota; Metazoa; Chordata; Mammalia; Artiodactyla; Camelidae. The transcript is spliced from 4 exons. The record is from RefSeq and is a predicted model, not a curated record.